UGUCAGAAAAAAAUUACUAAUAAUGGUAUAUUGUGUACUUUUGUAUAAACAUCAUAAAUGUCAGCACAAAUAUAGUGAAUAAAAACUAAAGAAUAAUAAGUAAGGUUCAUAAGUAUCCUGUAGGCUUGGCUAACCUAAAUGAGUACCCAAGGUUAAGACAGCUUUCAUUAGUGUUCAUACUUGUUUCAUAUUAAGUUGUAAAGUAGAACAAGCUAGAAAAACACCUGGUUACUAGGUUGGUCAGUGGUGAGCAUUGGUGGAGCUUCCCCCUUUCAAAAAGCAAAACUUUAUUUGAUAUAAGGGAGCAAGUAACUCCUGCUUACUUGUACUAAUUGAUUAUCAACUGUAAACAUUACUUCAUGUAUACAUUUAAAUGGUUAUGAUAUCUGAUUUGAAAUAUCAUAUUACAUCCACUAUUACUUUUUUCACCAUUUUUAUAUAUAAAAUUGGCAUUUUUUUCCUUUUCAAAUGUAUAAAAAGGCCUGUUUUUCACAUCUUCACAUAUAAAAAAAGCCCUGUUGUAUUUUCUAUAUUCAUAAAGGCCUCUAAUGUUUCCUGUAUUUAAAAAAGGGCCUUUUUUAAAAGUGCAAGAUGUUUGUAGUAUUUUGGAAGGUUUUUUUACAAUGGCCACUGUUCAGUAAUGUUCUAGAUGAAAAAAGGCACUUCUCUUUUUUUUCUAUGGAAGGAUCUUUAACAUUCAAAAGGCUUUCUGACCAAAAUUAUGAAAGAUAAGAAAUAGUAAUUGUGGAAUACUUUUAAAGAGAAACAGGACAAAAUUUUCAGAUGCAGAGAAACUUAACAAUGUCUAAAAAUUACUUUCUGCUUUUCAGGUCAGAAGCUCAAGAUAUCUAAGCAUAAGUGGAUCAGAUAUGACUGUGAUUCUUCAAGAACUCUCACGAUCAGGGCUGGGCAGGAUGGGAUGUCCUCUCUACCCACCAAUCAGGCCUGGGCAGGAAGUGAUGUCCUCUCCAACCAACCACCAGUGGGGCCGGGGCAGGAAAUGAUGCCUUCUCUACGCACCAGAGUACCAUUACUUGACAUUUCUUAAUAGUGUCCACAUCAUUCCACUGGUGUGUCUGCUUUUAGGACAUGUGGACAGUCUCUCAGCCUGGCUGCCUUGAAGCUUCCAAUUAUAAUUCACACAUCCUUUUUGGAUACUGCUGCAGCCAGGAUGCAAAUGGACCUCAGUUUCUCAUUGCCAGGGAAGUGGCAGAGGCGGCGAAGGCUCUGCCGCAGAAGUGGCAGAGGAGGCAAAGGCUCUGGUAAAGCCCCCAACUAAUAUAUGGCUAUCCACUGACCCUGAAAGACACCCAAACAACACCAAUGUUUGUGAAGUAACAAGAAUUAUGUGCAA
Molecule: long non-coding RNA, 1354 nt
Organism: Macrobrachium nipponense
Lineage: Eukaryota; Metazoa; Arthropoda; Malacostraca; Decapoda; Palaemonidae
Exons: 2
Source: RefSeq, a predicted model, not a curated record